RNAcentral lists this ribosomal RNA (228 nucleotides) under uncultured bacterium. RNAcentral's name for it is "partial 16S ribosomal RNA". It matches the Rfam family "Bacterial small subunit ribosomal RNA", at positions 568 to 795 of the family's 1533-position model. The record is from RNAcentral.
UGCGUAGGCGGAACUUUAAGUCAGUGGUGAAAUCCUGCGGCUCAACCGUAGAACUGCCAUUGAUACUGAAGUUCUUGAAUGCAGUUGAGGUAGGCGGAAUGUGUAAUGUAGCGGUGAAAUGCUUAGAUAUUACACAGAACACCGAUUGCGAAGGCAGCUUGCUAAACUGUGAUUGACGCUGAUGCACGAAAGCGUGGGGAGCGAACAGGAUUAGAUACCCUGGUAGUC